This 923-nucleotide long non-coding RNA is filed under the name Ananas comosus (pineapple). RNAcentral's name for it is "long non-coding RNA (ACOM_LNC013093)". Lineage: Eukaryota; Viridiplantae; Streptophyta; Magnoliopsida; Poales; Bromeliaceae. The record is from RNAcentral.
AGUCCUUACAGAGAGAGAGAGAGAGAGAGAGAGUCCAACUAUGGUGCUUGUAAAAGCACCAAGCAUUUAGUGCUUGUAAAUUUUUUACCGUUAGAUCUGCACUUUUGAUCAUUUUUACCCGUUAGAUUAUACUAUUCAACCAACCAUCCACCCACCCCUAGGGUCCCACAUCAUCCUAACUGCACAUCCUUUAAUCCAAGGGCUGAAAACUUACAAGUACCAAUGACUUGGUACUUUUAAAAGCAUAGAAGCUCAAUUAUAUAUAUAUAUAUAUAUAUAUAUAUAUAUAGAACCCUUUGUACUGAUAAAUUUUCGACCGUUGGAUGAAGGGAUGUACGAUUACGAUGAUAAUGGUCCCCGAUUAGGUUAAUAGUGGUCCCCUAUGGUUGAGUGGAUGGUUGGUUGAAUAGUAUGAUCUAACGAGUUGAAAUGAUCAAAAGAGUAGAUCUAACGGUCAAAAACUUAUGAGUACAAAAGGGACUAUACUCAUAAGAGUAUAGUAACCAGACUCUAUAUAUAUAUAUAUAUAUAUAUAUAUAUAUAGUCCGGCUACUAUGCUAUUAAUAGCACGAAACACUUGGUGCUACUAAGUUUUCCGCCGUUAGAUCUACCCUUUUGAUCAUUUUCAUCCGUUAGAUCAUACUAUUCAACUAACCACUCACUCAACUCUAGGGGUCCCACAUCAUCCUAACCACACAUCUCUGAAUUCAAUGGCCAAAAACUUGGUAGCACCAAUGACUUGGUGCUAUUAAUAGCAUAGUAGCCUAGUUCUAUAUAUAUAUAUAUAUAUAUAUACUUCCAUAAACAUAAAAAGUUGUCAUCAAUGUCCCUACCAUUAGUUGUGUUUGUUUUACUAUAGUUAUUAAAUGGAUAAAGAUAAACUAACUUUUAAAAUGACCAAUUUAUUCUUAACUAUCUCUUAA